UACGGAGGGGGCGAGCGUUAUUCGGAAUUAUUGGGCGUAAAGGGCGCGUAGGCGGCUUGAUAAGUCAAAGGUGAAAUCCCUCGGCUCAACCGGGGAACUGCGUCUGAUACUGGGUGGCUUGAAUCCGGGAGAGGGAUGCGGAAUUCCAGGUGUAGCGGUGAAAUGCGUAGAUAUCUGGAGGAACACCAGUGGCGGAGGCGGCUCGCUGGGCCGGUCCUGACGCUCGGGCGCGAAAGCGUGGGGAGCGAACAGG
RNAcentral lists this ribosomal RNA (253 nucleotides) under uncultured bacterium. RNAcentral describes it as "partial 16S ribosomal RNA". It matches the Rfam family "Bacterial small subunit ribosomal RNA", at positions 524 to 776 of the family's 1533-position model. The record is from RNAcentral.